RNAcentral lists this long non-coding RNA (6449 nucleotides) under Homo sapiens (human). RNAcentral describes it as "HSALNT0048624". The record is from RNAcentral. Lineage: Eukaryota; Metazoa; Chordata; Mammalia; Primates; Hominidae.
GGCAGCCAGGAGCUGCUGGGUGGGCGCGGGCGUCCCGGGGCGCGGUGCGACCCAGAGCCCCUCGCGGAACCCGCCUGGGCUGUGCAGGGGACAACGCGUUCGGCUGUCGAGGGUGGGGGAGCCCUGUGUGUGUGGUGGGGGUGGCAUCCGAUGGAUCCCGGGGGCCUGCGGAGGAGGUGGGCAUCUCGGCGCCACCCGGUGCGCGCCCCGAGCGAGGGCAUCUCCCCUCGAGACCAGCCCGCGGAGCUGCGCGAGGCGUGGGGUAAGGCGGCGUAGACCUCCCAGUGCCGGCUGCAGGGCCGCGGGUCGGGGCGGGGCCCCGCGAGGAGCAAGGGGCUGGCCGGGCUGGAGGGCUGGGUGAGUCCCCGCCCUGGCAAUCCCAGAAGAGGGCAGGGAGCGCCCCCAACUGACCGCCGGGGGCAUCGUGACGCUGAGGUGGAUGGGAGACUGCACGAUUUGAGCAGGUUGUGUGAAAUCUGGAACUCCAUUACUUGUACCCCAAGGCAUCUUUUUUAUGCGGAUUUAAGCUGGAAAGCGCCACACCAAGCUGUUAACAGGAACUGCUUCCUGGCACUGAGAUUCCAGGGGCUGCUCGUUCCUUUCUCUGGCUCAUCUGUGUAAGGAAGACUUUCCUCCGUGAGCCUUUCCACCAAGCUCAGGCCUGAGGCUUAGGAGAAAUGUGCGAGAUCCCGACAGCCUCGGAGGGAGUGAGGGGGCUUCGAGACCCUCAGGGCCACCUUAGGGGCCUCUACCAGGGAAGGAGAAAUGAUCUUGUUUCACCGGCCAGGGAGUUGAUUUCCAGACUGAAGCGUACCUGCCACGGAACUUUUACCUCCAUGGGGUGACCUUAGAACUUCUGCUCUGCAAACUGGAAGUGACCUUCAUCCUCCAGGAGGGUAUGUCGAAAGCAUUCCCGCUUGGCCACUUUUACAAGUUAUUUCUGCCUGGGAAGGCACCAACUCAAUUAUCCAGUAGAUAAGAUACGGGGCAACAGGGGAACGCCUGCCUUGCAUACUUGCUCACCCCCGACCUUAUAAAAGUGUCCAUGUUACUGCUCCAAAGGUGAAGCAGCACAUGUAAAGGCAGGACGCGUUGUGUCCCUUCCCCAAGCUACCUUUGGAAUACAUUCACUUUUCUUACACCAGACCUCGCGCUUGUUCAUUGGACUCUGCAUGCGAUGAGCAACUAACCUGCUUUUCAGUUAUGCUUUGGAGCCAUGUUGUUUAGCACUUAGAAAAUAGAGGUGGGUCUGGGCGCGGUGGCUCAUGCCUAUAAUCGCAGCAUUUUGGGAGGCCGAGGUGGGUGGACCACUUGAGGUCAGGAAUUCAAGACCAACCUGGCCAACUUGGUGAAACCCUGUCUCUACUAAAAAUAGAAAAAAUGAGCCCAGCAUGGUGGCACAUCCCUGUAAUCCCAGUUACUCGGGAGGCUGAGGCAUGAGAAUUGCUUGAAUCCGGGAGGUAGAGGUUGCAGUGAGCCGGCAUCACGCCACUGCACUCCAGCCUGGGCCACAGAGUGAGACUCCAUCUCAAAAACAAAAAAAAAAAAAAAAAAAGAAAAAGAAAAUAGAGGGUGUCUGAUAAAAAUGUACCUUCUCUAGUGUGCAGCACAGUAAAUCCAGCACCCCAGAGAUGUCCUGCCUGGCUCCCUGGAACCCGUCUGUGCACAUGAUGAGAUGUCACCUCUGUAAUUAGCUUAGGUUACAUGGCACAAUUAGCCUUAAAAUAGGGAAAUAUUCUGGGUGAGCCUCAUCUAAUCCCAUGAGACCUUAAAAGCAGAGAGCUUUCUCCCACUGGUGGCAGAAGGAGAAGUCAGACUAGAAGCAGAAUUCACAUGCCAUUGUUGACCUGAAGACUGAGGGACAAGGUGGCAAGGAAUGAUAGCAAAUUCUAGAAGCUAACAGCAGCCCCUGGCUGGCAGCCAGCAAGGAAAUGGGAACUUCAUACUGAAUUCUGCCAGUAAUAGAAAUGAGCUUGGAAGAGGACCCUAAAUUCCAGGGGAGGGAUGCAGCUGGACAGAGAACCUAGCCAUGCUGUACUGGUCUCCUGACCUGUGGGACUGUGGCAAAAUAAAUGGAUGUUGUGUUAAAAAGAAAAAACCUAAACACUCAGAAAAAAAGAAAAAUGUUGGCAGUACAAAGAGAUAUUGCCAGAAACACAAAUAUAGUGAGUCUUUAACAUACUAUUUAACAACCUAGAAGAGAUUUAACUUACCAAAAUCAGAGACAUCAGGCCAGACAGGGUGGCUCACGCCUGUAAUCCCAGCACUUUGGGAAGCCAAGUGGGUGGAUCACUUAAGGCCAGGAGUUCAAGACAAACCUGACCAACGUGGUGAAACCCCAUCUCUACUGAAAAUACAAAAGUUAUCCGGGUGUGGUGGCAUGCACCUGUAAUCCCAGCUCCUUGGGAGGCUAAGGCAGAAGAAUCUCUUGAACCCGGGAGGCAGAGGUUGCAGUGAGCCUAGAUUCCACCACUGCACUCCAGCCUGGCCUGGACAACAGAGCAAGACUCUCUCAAAAAAAAUAAAAAUGAAAAUAAACCAAAGACAUCAAAGACCCAAACAAUACCAUGAGUAGUUUGAAUCAAAGAUCUGUAUCAAAUUCUGUACCACACACAGCUUGUAUCUUCUUUUUGCAUAUGAAACCUUUACCAUGUAUGUGUAUUAGAAGGAAAGACAACAUCAACUAUCCCCCAAGGCAGAAAUUAAACAGGCCAAACUCUAUGUCCACAAUAUACGGUAAAUCAGAAAUUACCCACAAAAUUAAACCAAACAAGAACAAUGACAAAAAUCCUAGCCUGUUUCUUAAAUAACUGUUGAGUCAAAGAGAAAGUAAAAACUAUAAUGGUUCAUUGUUUUGAAAUCGGGAAGACCACAUAAUUAUAUUUAAGGGAAUAAUGUCAGUUUACCUCAUUUUGACUUCAAGGGGUGUUACGUGUCAGGCCUUGGGCUUAAGGCUGUAGCUGCUGAACAUUGCCCAAUUUAACAACUAUAAAUGCAUUCAUUAUUGUAAAAAUAAAAAUAAAAACAAGUGAACUAAUGUUUCAACUCAACAUUGCACGAGAAGAAUUUUAUUUUUAUUUAUUUAUUUUUUUGAAACAGGGUCUCACUCCAUUGCCCAGGCUGGAGUGCAGUGGCACCAUCUUGGCUCACUGCAACCUCUGCCUUCCAGGCUGAAGAGCUCCUCCCACCUCAGCCUCCCCAGUGGCUGGGACUAUAGGCACGCCCUCCAGGCCUAGCUAAUUUUUAUAUUUUCGGUAGAGAUAGGGUUUUGCGAUGUUGCCCAGGCUGGUCUCAGUCUCCUGAGCUCAAUUCAUCUGUCCACCUCAGCCUCCCAAAGUGCUGAGACUACAGGCACGAGCCAGCACGCUGGGCCAGAAAAGAACUUUAUUUAUUUAUUUUUUUUUGAGACGGAGUCUUGCUCUGUCACCCAAGCUGGAGUGCAGUGGUGUGAUCUUGGCUCACUGCAACGUCCUCCGCCUCCUGGGUUCAAGUGAUUCCCCUGUCUCAGCCUCCUGAGUAGCUGGGAUUACAGGCACCUGCCACCACACCCAGCUAAUUUUUGUAUUUUUAGUAGAGACAGGGUUUCGCCAUGUUGGCCGGGCUGGUCUUGAACUCCUGACCUCAGGUGAUCUGCCCGCCUCGGACUCCCAAAGUGCUGGGAUUACAGGUGUGAGCCACCACGACCAGCCCAGAAAAGAACUUUAAAGCAGAGUAAAACAAAACCAGAAAAAAGAAAUAAUAAAGACAUAAGAGAGAUGAGUCAAAUUUAAUGAAUUUGAAAGGAGUAGAUAAAUUGUCGGUUAUUUUUUUAAAAAAGCAUUAAAAUAGCUAAACCUAUGCCAAAUUUAAUGAAAGACAAGUGUAAUUAGCAAGUUAAUUAAAUGCAGUUUAAAGUGUAAAAGUAUAAGAAUUAUAAUUCAUAUAUGAAUAGAUUUUUAAUUUUUUAUUCUUAAAAUUAAUUUUUUUUUUUUACAGAGUCCUGCUCUGUCGAACCAGGCUGGAGGGCAGUGGAGCGAUCAUAGCACACUGUAGCCUUGACCUCCUGGGCUCAAGCGAUCCUCUUGCCUCAGCCUCCUGGGUAGCUAGGACUACAGGCAUGUGGUACCACACCCUGCCAUGAGUAGAUUUUAAAUCUUGUUGAAAAGUAUGUGGCCUGAGCAACAUGGAAAAACCCCAUCUCUACUAAAAAUACAAAUAUUGGCCAGGCAUUGUAGCAUGCACCUGUAGUCUCAGCUACCUGGGAGGCUGAGGCAGGAGAAUUGCUUAAACCCGGGAGGCAGAGGUUGCAGUGAGCCGAGAUUGUGCCACUGUACUCCAGCCUUGGUGACAUAGUGAGAUUCUGUCUCAAAAAAAAAAGAAAAGUAUGGUUCAAAUAAACAAAAGGAAUAGAGUCAAAAAGAAAGGAAGCCAGGUGUGGCACACACCUGUACUCCCAUCUAUUAGGGAGGCUAAGGUAGGAGGCUCACUUGAGCCCAGGAAUUCAAAGCUGCAGUGAGCUGUGACCAUCGCACUGCACUCCAGCCUGUGCGACAGAGCCAGACCCUGUCUCUAAAAAUAAAGAAAACCCAUAUGCUCUCAUAAUCCAGGAACAAUUGGAAAGAGUUAUCAGUCACCUUCCCAGAGUCUCUGGAGACCAUUUGGGCAGUAAGUUCUUUCAGGCAGUAAGGUCUUUCAAACUCCCAAGAAACAACUAGUUCUAGCCUAUGAGCCCAUUUUUGCCAUGGCAAAAAAUGACAAGCUCUCCAAUUCAUUGUAUGAAAUUAAUAUAACACUGAUCCCAAAGCCAGCAAAUAGAGCACAGUUAAAUUACCCCUGAAUCCCACAAACUGCAUUGUAGCCAGAAGCCGCCUUGCUAUCCUGGUCUCAUAGCUUUCAGGUAUUUGGCUCCUCAUUUGUUCCUAAAUCCUACUGACAGGGACAUGAGGCGGGAAAAAAAAAAAAAAAAAGAAUCUGCCAAAGAUGGCCGGACUUCAGGGGAAGAUUACCUACCCCACAUCCCCCUUAACAGCUCCCCUUCCCACUGAAAGCCUUUUUUUUUUUUUUUUUUUUUUUUUUGAGAAGGAGUUUCACUCUGUCGCCCAGGCUGGAGUGCAGUGACACAUGCCCUCCAGGCCCAGCUAAUUUUUGUAUUUUCGGCUCACUGCAACCUCUGCCUCCCAGGUUCAAGCAAUUCUCCUGCCUCAGCCUCCCGAGUAGCGGGGACUACAGGCACGCGCCACCACACCCAGCUAAUUUUUGUAUUUUUAGUGGAGAUGGGGUUUCACCAUGUUGGCCAGGAUGGUCUCCAUCUCUUGACCUCGUGAUCCGCCCGCCUCAGCCUCCCAACGUGCUGGGAUUACAGGUGUGAGCCACGGUGCCCAAACCGAGCCAUUUUCAUUGGCAAUAAAAUCUCCCACAUUUACUAUCCUUCAAUUCGUUCGUGUGACCUCAUUUUUCCUGGAUGCCGGACAAGAGCUUAGGAGCCACAAGUGUGGAUACGAAAGGCUGUCACACUGGCCCUUCGCCCUCGCUAGCAGAGGGCAGCCAUGGGCCCACUGAGAGCUGUUAACACUUAAGCCGUCCGUGGACAGCAGAGCUAAAAGAGCACUCUAACAUGGCCUCCGGGGCCCCGGGAGUCGCAGGCACCCUGCCUGGACGCUGUUGUGGGGCCUGAACGAAGUUCACUGCUGCCGGCGCCCAAAAGCGCUCGCUCCAGCUCCUGCACCUGCUCAACUGUGUGCUCCCUUUCACGAGGGUCGGAAUGCGGUGGAUCUGAGAGAGUGGAGUCUGAUCCCGCCCGCACUGAAACAGCUGGCUGGUUCCAGCACUCCUGCGCUCCAGUUCCCGCCUCGUUUGCUGUGUGCUCCCUCCCACCAGCAGUUGAGAGCAGUGGGCUAAGUAAACUAGGCACCCCUGUCCAAAGUCCUGAGAAGGGCUCAAGGAACUAUCCUGCUUCACUAUUGAUCAGUGGUCUCCCUGUCAGGGGCAGAUCCGGCCUUCUCUUCUCAAAUUAUCCUGGGUGAUAAUACCCAUUGGGUUUGUCUCCUGGGUGAUUCCCUCCACGGCUGAACCUCACCCACUACCUUCUCGUCAGUGUCAUUGACUCUGCACACAGGUUACUGUUGCUCACCCACCACUGGUGCCUCUGACCCUUCUAGGACCAUCUAGGUUCCCCCUGAGUAACUCAGGGGCAUUGCUGACCAGCUGUGGACCAGAAGGCUCCCUUAGGGCACGUGCUGCAUGGUAGGGCUAACUGUGGCUGUCCCCCAAGACCUGUGGGGUCAGGCCCUUCCCUCUGAUGUUGGGGUUGGGGACCUUGCAGCGGAGUCAGAGGGAGAAGCUUCGUGUUCCCUCCACCCCAGGAUCCUCCACCGAAGUAAGUAAUUUGACACAGAGGAAACCAGAUGCACAAAAAUUAAAAGGAUAAACCGUAAUUCAGCUAAAAUACCCAAGGGUUGAAAUUGCCAAAG